GAGAAACCCUGGAAUGAAAAAUGGGCAAUCCUGAGAAAAUCCGUCGACUUUAUAAGUCGUGAGGGUU
This 67-nucleotide transfer RNA is filed under the name Chloris virgata (feather finger grass). RNAcentral describes it as "tRNA-Leu". Lineage: Eukaryota; Viridiplantae; Streptophyta; Magnoliopsida; Poales; Poaceae. The record is from RNAcentral.